RNAcentral lists this small nucleolar RNA (113 nucleotides) under Helianthus annuus (common sunflower). Its description in RNAcentral is "Plant small nucleolar RNA R71". It matches the Rfam family "Plant small nucleolar RNA R71". From Rfam's summary of the family: R71 is a member of the C/D box family of snoRNAs containing the C (UGAUGA) and D (CUGA) box motifs. Multiple nearly identical copies of this snoRNA have been identified in Arabidopsis, and it is thought to function as a 2'-O-ribose methylation guide for 18S ribosomal RNA. The record is from RNAcentral. Lineage: Eukaryota; Viridiplantae; Streptophyta; Magnoliopsida; Asterales; Asteraceae.
AGACCAUGAUGCGAGCACUUCCUUAACAAAUCCUUGAACUUCUCCCAUGUCUCGUACAAAGAUUCCUCGUCAUCGUCAUCUUGAGAGUAUGAAUUUAUCUCGGUCAUGAGUUU